This 498-nucleotide ribosomal RNA is filed under the name uncultured bacterium. RNAcentral's name for it is "bacterial SSU rRNA". It matches the Rfam family "Bacterial small subunit ribosomal RNA", at positions 28 to 523 of the family's 1533-position model. The record is from RNAcentral.
GAUGAACGCUAGCGGCAGGCUUAACACAUGCAAGUCGAGGGGUAUUGGUUUUCGGACCAAGAGACCGGCGCACGGGUGCGUAACGCGUAUGCAAUCUACCUUUUGCAGAGGGAUAGCCCCAGAGAAAUUUGGAUUAAUACCUCAUAGUAUAGUACUUUGGCAUCAAGGAACUAUUAAAGUCACAACGGCAAAAGAUGAGCAUGCGUCCCAUUAGCUAGUUGGUAAGGUAACGGCUUACCAAGGCUACGAUGGGUAGGGGUCCUGAGAGGGAGACUCCCCCACACUGGUACUGAGACACGGACCAGACUCCUACGGGAGGCAGCAGUGAGGAAUAUUGGACAAUGGGGCGCAAGCCUGAUCCAGCCAUGCCGCGUGCAGGAUGACGGUCCUAUGGAUUGUAAACUGCUUUUAUACAGGAAGAAACACUCCGACGUGUCGGAGCUUGACGGUACUGUAAGAAUAAGGAUCGGACUAACUCCGUGCCAGCAGCCGCGGUAA